Long non-coding RNA from Orbicella faveolata, 172 nucleotides. The record is from RefSeq and is a predicted model, not a curated record. NCBI's taxonomy places the organism in Eukaryota, Metazoa, Cnidaria, Anthozoa, Scleractinia, Merulinidae.
UUACUUACUGCAACCAUUUUAUUGUCAGGUGAUGGCAAUGGCCAAGCCAUCUCUCCCUUCCACGAUAUUCCAUUGUUUGCCAAUACUGAGAAAACAAUCUGCAACAUGGUUGUUGAAGUUCCAAGAUGGACAAAUGCCAAAAUGGAGAUUUCUACAAGGGAAGCCUUGAAUA